Long non-coding RNA from Mus musculus (house mouse), 245 nucleotides. RefSeq annotates it as predicted gene, 54183. The record is from RefSeq and is a predicted model, not a curated record. The transcript has 3 exons. NCBI's taxonomy places the organism in Eukaryota, Metazoa, Chordata, Mammalia, Rodentia, Muridae.
GCAUAACCAUAGAAAAUCGGAGAAAGAAAAGCAUGGACAAGCAAGCCUAAGUCUCACCCUAGAGAACUUCCUGCAAUGGCAGGACAGAAGUCUACCAAACCUCUCCAUUGCCCCAGUUUGCCCGAUCCACCUCAGGAUGCCUCCCAGCCCUUCCCAGUCCUCAACCACCACAUAGCCAACCUUGACUGGUCACACUCAAAGGUCAGAGCAACACGCCUGAGAAUAGAAAUCUGACCCCAAAGCCA